This 406-nucleotide ribosomal RNA is filed under the name uncultured bacterium. RNAcentral's name for it is "partial 16S ribosomal RNA". It matches the Rfam family "Bacterial small subunit ribosomal RNA", at positions 30 to 526 of the family's 1533-position model. The record is from RNAcentral.
AUUGAACGCUGGCGGCAGGCCUAACACAUGCAAGUCGAACGAGUGGCGGACGGGUGAGUAAUGUCUGGGAAACUGCCCGAUGGAGGGGGAUAACUACUGGAACCGGUAGCUAAUACCGCAUACCAUCGGAUGUGCCCAGAUGGGAUUAGCUAGUAGGUGGGGUAACGGCUCACGUAGGCUACGAUCCCUAGCUGGUCUGAGAGGAUGACCAGCCACACUGGAACUGAGACACGGUCCAGACUCCUACGGGAGGCAGCAGUGGGGAAUAUUGCGAAAUGGGCGAAAGCCUGAUGCAGCAAUGCCGCGUGUAUGAAGAAGGCCUUCGGGUUGUAAAGUACUUUCAGCGGGGAGGCGUUACUCGCAGAAGAAGCACCGGCUAACUCCGUGCCAGCAGCCGCGGUAAUAC